UACGAAGGGGGCUAGCGUUGUUCGGAAUUACUGGGCGUAAAGCGCACGUAGGCGGCGCAGCAAGUUAGAUGUGAAAUGCCUGGGCUUAACCUAGGAACUGCAUUUAAGACUGCUGUGCUAGAGACCGGGAGAGGGUGGCGGAAUUCCCAGUGUAGAGGUGAAAUUCGUAGAUAUUGGGAAGAACACCGGUUGCGAAGGCGGCCACCUGGACCGGCACUGACGCUGAGGUGCGAGAGCGUGGGGAGCAAACAGG
RNAcentral lists this ribosomal RNA (253 nucleotides) under uncultured bacterium. RNAcentral describes it as "partial 16S ribosomal RNA". It matches the Rfam family "Bacterial small subunit ribosomal RNA", at positions 524 to 776 of the family's 1533-position model. The record is from RNAcentral.